This 305-nucleotide long non-coding RNA is filed under the name Lathyrus oleraceus (garden pea). Its description in RNAcentral is "Pisum sativum (pea) long non-coding RNA (PSAT_LNC030282)". The record is from RNAcentral. Lineage: Eukaryota; Viridiplantae; Streptophyta; Magnoliopsida; Fabales; Fabaceae.
AGCAAGUAACUCUGAAAUAUACAACACCAUAGUUCAGACUGAUGUCAAUGCAGAAACGGGUCUGAGCUCUUGCAUCCCUUCCCCAUCUCCUGUUGUUUGCAGCCACCUGAGUGAUAUCUCUCGUCUGCUUGCAAAUGAGUUGGUUAACCAUGGUGAUAUUUAUUCUGUGAUUCUUCAGAAGUGUCUAUUGCAGCCACCUGAGUGAUAUCUCUCGUCUGCUUGCAAAUGAGUUGGUUAACCAUGGUGAUAUUUAUUCUGUGAUUCUUCAGAAGUGUCUAGGUCAAAAUGGAAGUUGUAAACUUAAC